RNAcentral lists this ribosomal RNA (485 nucleotides) under uncultured bacterium. Its description in RNAcentral is "partial 16S ribosomal RNA". It matches the Rfam family "Bacterial small subunit ribosomal RNA", at positions 27 to 507 of the family's 1533-position model. The record is from RNAcentral.
GAUUGAACGCUGGCGGCAUGCUUUACCCAUGCAAGUCGAACGGCAGCGCGGGCUUCGGCCUGGCGGCGAGUGGCGAACGGGUGAGUAAUGCAUCGGAACGUGCCCAGUAAUGGGGGAUAGCCCGGCGAAAGCCGGAUUAAUACCGCAUACGACCUGAGGGUGAAAGCGGGGGACCGAAAGGCCUCGCGCUAUUGGAGCGGCCGAUGUCGGAUUAGCUAGUUGGUGGGGUAAAGGCUUACCAAGGCGACGAUCCGUAGCUGGUCUGAGAGGACGACCAGCCACACUGGGACUGAGACACGGCCCAGACUCCUACGGGAGGCAGCAGUGGGGAAUUUUGGACAAUGGGGGCAACCCUGAUCCAGCCAUGCCGCGUGCGGGAAGAAGGCCUUCGGGUUGUAAACCGCUUUUGUUCGGGAAGAAAUCCUCUGGGCUAAUACCCCGGGGGGAUGACGGUACCGGAAGAAUAAGCACCGGCUAACUACGUG